UCCGUAGGUGAACCUGCGGAGGGAUCAUUACCGAGUUUACAACUCCCAAACCCCUGUGAACAUACCUUAAUGUUGCCUCGGCGGAUCAGCCCGCGCCCCGUAAAACGGGACGGCCCGCCAGAGGACCCAAACUCUAAUGUUUCUUGUUGUAACUUCUGAGUAAAACAAGCAAAUAAAUCAAAACUUUCAACAACGGAUCUCUUGGUUCUGGCAUCGAUGAAGAACGCAGCAAAAUGCGAUAAGUAAUGUGAAUUGCAGAAUUCAGUGAAUCAUCGAAUCUUUGAACGCACAUUGCGCCCGCUGGUAUUCCGGCGGGCAUGCCUGUUCGAGCGUCAUUUCAACCCUCAAGCCCCCGGGUUUGGUGUUGGGGAUCGGCUCUGCCUUCUGGCGGUGCCGCCCCCGAAAUACAUUGGCGGUCUCGCUGCAGCCUCCAUUGCGUAGUAGCUAACACCUCCGUACCAUGGCGCGGCGCGGCCAUGCCGUAAAACCCCAACUUCUGAAUGUGACCUCGGAUCAGGUA
This 520-nucleotide ribosomal RNA is filed under the name Fusarium avenaceum. Its description in RNAcentral is "eukaryotic LSU rRNA". The stretch from base 182 to 335 matches the Rfam family "5.8S ribosomal RNA". The record is from RNAcentral. Lineage: Eukaryota; Fungi; Ascomycota; Sordariomycetes; Hypocreales; Nectriaceae.